This 753-nucleotide ribosomal RNA is filed under the name uncultured bacterium. RNAcentral describes it as "bacterial SSU rRNA". It matches the Rfam family "Bacterial small subunit ribosomal RNA", at positions 779 to 1528 of the family's 1533-position model. The record is from RNAcentral.
UAGAUACCCCAGUAGUCCUAGCAGUAAAUGAUGGAGACUAGGUGUUGCCUGUAUCGACCCGGGCAGUGCAGAAGCCAACGCGUUAAGUCUCCCGCCUGGGGAGUAUGCACGCAAGUGUGAAACUCAAAGGAAUUGACGGGGGCCCGCACAAGCGGUGGAGUAUGUGGUAUAAUUCGAUGCAUACGCGAAGAACCUUACCAGGGCUUGACAUCCCGCGAAUCCCCGGCGAAAGUUGGGAGUGCGUACGGGAGCGCGGAGACAGGUGGUGCAUGGCUGUCGUCAGCUCGUGUCGUGAGAUGUUGGGUUAAGUCCCGCAACGAGCGCAACCCUCGUCCUUAGUUGCCAGCCUUAAGUGGGGCACUAUAGGGAGACUGCCGGUGAUAAACCGGAGGAAGGUGGGGAUGACGUCAAGUCAUCAUGCCCCAUAUGUCGUGGGCGACACACGUACUACAAUGGUCGUGACAGCGAGCAGCCAACUCGCGAGAGUGAGAUAAUCUCUCAAACCCGGCCUCAGUUCAGAUCGCAGGAUGCAACUCGCCUGCAUGAAGGAGGAAUCGAUAGUAAUCGCAGGUCAGCAUAAUGCGGUGAAUCCGUUCCCGGGCCUUGUACACACCGCCCGUCACACCAUGGAAGUCGGCCAUGCCCGAAGUCAUUACUCUAACCGUUCGCGGAGGAGGGUGCCGAAGGCAGGGCUGAUGACUGGGGUGAAGUCGUAACAAGGUAGCCGUACCGGAAGGUGUGGCUGGAUCACCU